Molecule: long non-coding RNA, 3132 nt
Organism: Wyeomyia smithii (pitcher-plant mosquito)
Lineage: Eukaryota; Metazoa; Arthropoda; Insecta; Diptera; Culicidae
Exons: 7
Source: RefSeq, a predicted model, not a curated record
AGAUAAAAAUGGACUUCGCAACAAGUUAAAUGAGGUGAGGACAACACCCUCUCAAAAUUUAAUGAAACUUUCUAUGUGUAUGAGAGAAGUUUUUUCCUCAAAACUGUCCAUUUUAAAUUGUUCAGAAGAGUGUUCAGGCUUGUCUGUUCCUUUUAAAAAUAAUUUAAUGUUUUUCAAAUCAUUCUUCUCAGUGUUUUCUCAGAUCUCAAAUUUAUUCUUUUAUUCAAUUUUUUUUUAAUAUAAAUUCAUACAAUUUCCUAAUAAUCAUCAAUUGACAAAUUCGCUCAAUCUUUUAUUAUUAUUUAUUAUCGAUUUAUGAAAAACUUCAGCCUUAUAUUCUUCUAGUUAGUUUUUUUUUUAAAUUAAGUAUGCAAUGUUGCUUAGUUUACUAAGGUUACACACUUGACAACACACUUACAAAGUUUCAUUAAAUUUUGAGAGAGUGCUGCCAACAUCUGGGCAGGCUGGCGCGUUAUUUCAUGAUGUUGAUGCACGAUUUUCUUUUCAUGAGCAUAGGUUUAUAUUAGAGUAAGCGAACAGGUGAAUAUAUACAGUUACAGAUACAGUUUCCAAUUCCAACGCCAUUCUUUUAUUCACAACACACUUACAAAGUUUCAUUAAAUUUUGAGAGAGUGCUGCCAACAUCUGGGCACUUGUUUGUUCGCAGAUAGGGUCCAGUGCUGCAUAGGGUAUUUUCUCAGCUAAACACUUUCCAACUGAAGCAAAAUAUUCAUUAGUUUCAUCAACCAGAGACUGUUUUUCUUCGACCGUAGAACCACUUUGUGUGAUUGUGUGGGAUUGUUUUGGUUUAUUUCCCAGAACUUCCUUGAUGGUGUCCCAGGUUUUAAUAAUGUUACCCCUGUAACAAUCGAAUUUUGUUGCGUAAUAUUCCUUCAUCUUCUUUCGUUUAAUCUCAGUCACAUUAUUGCACCAGAUACCAUAUAUAUGUCGAGUGAAUUCAUCCGAGCGAUCACGUCUAAGUUUCGAGUACCAAUAGUUCUUGGUUCGUAUACACAUCUUCAUCUCCUGAUCGGCCCACGGCUUUGAGUGUGUACAAUUUGCUGGUUUUAUUUUGAUGUGUGUGGACGCUCGUGAGACACCUUCCUGGAUACCAGAGAUAAGAGAAAUAUAAUUCUCUCAACAUCUCUCCAGCAGCAUGUUGAUAUUUGGUUUUCACGCAGGAACUCACUCACAGCUGGUAGGUUUAUUCUCGAAUAGGGCUGGCAGUGCUUAGGUUCAUUACCAGUUGGAUGGUUGAUCUCAACAAAUAUCGCAUUGUGAUCGAAAAGACUAUAUUGCAGAUGUUGCAGUGAGAUCCCGAUAUUGGUAUUGUUUGUAAUAAUGUGGUCUAAGCAUGCAUCGUAUCUCGUCGGUGUUGAGUCACAAAAGUGAAAACUAUUCGAGAACACUGUGUUUUUAUAUUUCUCCACAACGGGCGUUGUAGAGUUCAAGUCAAAGCUAAAGUCCCCUAGCACGAAAGUAUUGGCACGUUGGCCAGAAAGAAAGUCAUCUAGAAGAUCGAAGAAAUCAUCUACCUUUAAGGCUAGUGUCUGAGGUGGUCUGUAUAUACUCACAAGAGUGAUUUUUUUUCCGAGUGCUGAUAUCGACAGCAACAAUACUGUUAUACUCAUCACAGUAGCUACGGACAAGUUUGCAUUGGAUAUUUUUGUGGAUAAAUAGAGCUGAACCACCUCCUCUUCUUGUCGAUCGUGAUGCAAAGAAGCAUUUAUAGUUUUGUAAUGACAUGGAUAUUUCCGUAUCUGCAUGCUACCAUGUUUCCGUAAUCGAGAUGAUUUCAGCCGGGCUGGGCAGUUCAUCCAGCAAGUACUCCAAUUCGAGAACGGAGGUACCAUGGAGAGCCUACUUUUAAUGGCCGAGAACGAUUUAAAAAGCAUGGGAAUCGAUAAAAAAGGACCGACUGUUCUAAUCCUGGAUUUUAUCAACACAUCGAAGGCUUGUCUUGCUGAAGAUGAAAAUGUUCAAGAGUCUCUGGAACCAGACAUCGCAUCUACUACUUUGACGGAUAAUGAACUGGAAUCAAUCUUAGAGCAACAUCCACGUUUUCAAGGCAUAUACGUCAAAAAGUUGGCUCCCAAUGGUACUCUGCAGCAUGGAGAGUUACUACUUAUGACAAGAAUCAUUUCUACGGUCGGCGCAUUUGGGAGGACCAAAACUACCCAACAAAUUUUGAAAAAAAAGAUGCUUGCUGAGCGAAUCGUCAGGGCACAUCCCCAGUAAGGCAAACCUGUUUCCUGUCGAGCACCUCUCGAGUCGGUGUUUUUUUAUAAGAACAAUGGUGAAGCUAAACGACCACAUAGUGGAUAUAUUGAACAACGCGUGUCCAAUAUGCACAAAGAAGUACCUUUGGAUAAGAGAAAAUUCCGACGAAAAAAAAAACAUGCCAAAUUUGGAAUUUGUUACAGAGCAAAUGACUGCAAGUGCAGACAUGCUGACAGCUUUGGAAGCAACGGCCCAGAACUGUCUCGAAAUUUCGAUGCUCAUGAAACAGUGCUUCUCGAUUCAUAGGAACAUGAUAACGCAGGGAAAAAAUGUUCAUCAGAUUUACAGUUAUUUCCCUCAUCUAAAGUCAUAUCAGGGUCUUUUAGUGCAACAAGCGUUUGAAGGAAGUUUGAAAAGAAUACUGUCUCAAGCCCUAUUGCUACAACGUGAGGCAUUCCAUGAAGUAAAUAAUGAUUGAAGAUGCUACUGAUUACCUCGACCGUGAGAACCCUACAGCUCACAUUAUUUGUUUCGGCUCAGCGUUUCAAAGUGGCCAUUUUAUGAUUGUGCUAGGCAGGAAUUGUGGUAUCAAUAUGGGAGCGAACGCUUUACAAACAUCAGAUGUUUUUUUAAGACUUUUACUGUGUUCAACAUUAACAUCCCUGCUUUGCUUAGGCCAUUGAAUGAUUCUUUGUCCAUAAAAUUGUUCAAAACACUAACGCAUAGCUCUCGUCGCUCGGUAAAUGAGUUGGUGAAUCAGUUCGUUAGUACAGAUAUCGCUGAGCAAGCCUAGGGAAAUAAUAAUUGUUAUAUCUUUAAAAAAAAUUGUAUCUGUAAAAAUAUGAUUUAAACAACUAAAACUAAAUAUCUGUUGUUUAUUACAAAAACUAAAAAUACAAACAGAGUUUCAAA